Molecule: long non-coding RNA, 831 nt
Filed under: Lupinus angustifolius (narrow-leaved blue lupine)
Lineage: Eukaryota; Viridiplantae; Streptophyta; Magnoliopsida; Fabales; Fabaceae
Description: long non-coding RNA (LANG_LNC001072)
Source: RNAcentral
GCAUAAUAACUCAUAAAUUUGUGAUUCAUGAGUUAGGGACAGACAUGCAAUCAUACACAUGCUAUGAGGUGAACUGAAGUGCCAUCAUCUUCAAUAGGAAUACCAACAGUUUCAAUCAAUCCACUGUCUUCCAACUUUAACAACAACUGCAAAACCAAAUGUCUGGCACAAAAAUGUAAGAUAUCAAGGAAACAUCAAUAAUUCACCACUUAAAAAAAGUCUGGAUCCUCUGCUCUGGACAAAGAUUUUAAGUUUUCAAAUUUUUUUCAUUCCCUAACCAAUCAAACUUCAUAAAAUAAUAUUAAAAUAUCAAACUUUAUCCCUCUCUAAUGUCUGAGACAAAUGUUACAUAAAUAUUGUGACAUUUAUUCAAAAAUAAAUCAAAAGUUCAAAUUUUAAAAUGAAAAUUAAUUUAAUUUUCAAAAUUAAAGAAGAAAAAGAAAAACAGAUCCAAAGCAAUGUGGAUAAGGAUGAAUGAUCUCCAACCUCUUUCCUCCUCCUUCAACCACCACCGUUAUUCUCAGCCACAUACACUAUGUCAUGGCAAAGGAUCUCCACUACAUGCAGCUGCUUGCCACCAUUAAUGGCACUAUCAACCGCACAAAGCUCAAGUCUUUCUCCGUGUUCUUGUGGAAUAUUGUUGCUCUUGCAACUUCAAUAGCCAAAAAUGGCAAAAGAGUCAUCCCAAAAUGGGGCCAUGACAAAUUUGAGUCAUCGACGAGGGUUUCUUUACUAAUUUAUUGGUUAUGUUUUUUCAACAGUGGCAUUGUCGUCCAUGGAUUGAAGGAGGAGGAGAGAGAUUGGGGGUCCUCCUUCCUUAUCUACAUUGUU